RNAcentral lists this ribosomal RNA (468 nucleotides) under uncultured bacterium. Its description in RNAcentral is "partial 16S ribosomal RNA". It matches the Rfam family "Bacterial small subunit ribosomal RNA", at positions 28 to 507 of the family's 1533-position model. The record is from RNAcentral.
GACGAACGCUGGCGGCGUGCUUAACACAUGCAAGUCGAACGGAAAGGCCCUGCUUUUGUGGGGUGCUCGAGUGGCGAACGGGUGAGUAACACGUGAGUAACCUGCCCUUGACUUUGGGAUAACUUCAGGAAACUGGGGCUAAUACCGGAUAUGAGCUCCUGCUGCAUGGUGGGGGUUGGAAAGUUUCGGCGGUUGGGGAUGGACUCGCGGCUUAUCAGCUUGUUGGUGGGGUAGUGGCUUACCAAGGCUUUGACGGGUAGCCGGCCUGAGAGGGUGACCGGCAACAUUGGGACUGAGAUACGGCCCAGACUCCUACGGGAGGCAGCAGUGGGGAAUAUUGCACAAUGGGCGGAAGCCUGAUGCAGCAACGCCGCGUGCGGGAUGACGGCCUUCGGGUUGUAAACCGCUUUCGCCUGUGACGAAGCGUGAGUGACGGUAAUGGGUAAAGAAGCACCGGCUAACUACGUG